Molecule: ribosomal RNA, 952 nt
Filed under: Pediococcus pentosaceus
Lineage: Bacteria; Bacillati; Bacillota; Bacilli; Lactobacillales; Lactobacillaceae
Description: bacterial SSU rRNA
Rfam family: Bacterial small subunit ribosomal RNA
Source: RNAcentral
GUAACCGUGACGAGCAGCAUAUAAUGCAGUCGACGAACUUCCGUUAAUUGAUUAUGACGUACUUGUACUGAUUGAGAUUUUAACACGAAGUGAGUGGCGAACGGGUGAGUAACACGUGGGUAACCUGCCCAGAAGUAGGGGAUAACACCUGGAAACAGAUGCUAAUACCGUAUAACAGAGAAAACCGCAUGGUUUUCUUUUAAAAGAUGGCUCUGCUAUCACUUCUGGAUGGACCCGCGGCGUAUUAGCUAGUUGGUGAGGUAAAGGCUCACCAAGGCAGUGAUACGUAGCCGACCUGAGAGGGUAAUCGGCCACAUUGGGACUGAGACACGGCCCAGACUCCUACGGGAGGCAGCAGUAGGGAAUCUUCCACAAUGGACGCAAGUCUGAUGGAGCAACGCCGCGUGAGUGAAGAAGGGUUUCGGCUCGUAAAGCUCUGUUGUUAAAGAAGAACGUGGGUAAGAGUAACUGUUUACCCAGUGACGGUAUUUAACCAGAAAGCCACGGCUAACUACGUGCCAGCAGCCGCGGUAAUACGUAGGUGGCAAGCGUUAUCCGGAUUUAUUGGGCGUAAAGCGAGCGCAGGCGGUCUUUUAAGUCUAAUGUGAAAGCCUUCGGCUCAACCGAAGAAGUGCAUUGGAAACUGGGAGACUUGAGUGCAGAAGAGGACAGUGGAACUCCAUGUGUAGCGGUGAAAUGCGUAGAUAUAUGGAAGAACACCAGUGGCGAAGGCGGCUGUCUGGUCUGCAACUGACGCUGAGGCUCGAAAGCAUGGGUAGCGAACAGGAUUAGAUACCCUGGUAGUCCAUGCCGUAAACGAUGAUUACUAGGUGUUGGAGGGUUUCCGCCCUUCAGUGCUGCAGCUAACGCAUUAAGUAAUCCGCCUGGGGAGUACGACGCAAAGUUGAAACUCAAAGAAUUGACGGGGGCCCCGCACAGGCGGUGGAAGCAU